GAAAUGCGAUAAGUAGUGUGAAUUGCAGAAUUCCGUGAAUCAUCGAAUCUUUGAACGCACAUUGCGCCCUCUGGCAUUCCUUAGGGCAUGCCUGUUCGAGCGUCAUCUCAAACCUCAAGCACCGCUUGGUCUUGGGCGACCGUCCCGCCGCGGCGCGCGGACCCGCCUCGAAUGCAUUGGCAGCCGGCAUCCCGGGCCUCGAGCGCAGCAGAUCGCGCCUCGAGCCGGGCGGCCGGCGCUCCAGCAAGCGCCACCCCACGUUUUGACCUCGGAUCAGGCAGGGUUACCCGCUGAACUUAA
RNAcentral lists this unclassified non-coding RNA (300 nucleotides) under uncultured Pleosporales. Its description in RNAcentral is "sequence contains ITS1". The stretch from base 1 to 105 matches the Rfam family "5.8S ribosomal RNA", at positions 50 to 154 of the family's 154-position model. The record is from RNAcentral. Lineage: Eukaryota; Fungi; Ascomycota; Dothideomycetes; Pleosporales.